RNAcentral lists this ribosomal RNA (253 nucleotides) under uncultured bacterium. RNAcentral describes it as "partial 16S ribosomal RNA". It matches the Rfam family "Bacterial small subunit ribosomal RNA", at positions 524 to 776 of the family's 1533-position model. The record is from RNAcentral.
UACGGGGGGAGCAAGCGUUGUUCGGAUUUACUGGGCGUAAAGGGCGCGUAGGCGGCGCAACAAGUCACUUGUGAAAUCUCCGGGCUUAACUCGGAGCGGCCAAGUGAUACUGUCGUGCUAGAGUGCGGAAGGGGCAACUGGAAUUCUCGGUGUAGCGGUGAAAUGCGUAGAUAUCGAGAGGAACACCUGCGGCGAAGGCGGGUUGCUGGGCCGACACUGACGCUGAGGCGCGAAAGCUAGGGGAGCGAACGGG